UUAAAUGUAGGGACAAGUAUAUAUAUGACCAAUUGAUAACAGCGAUCUGGGGUAGUGAAAGCCAGAACAACGUUAUAUAUAGAAAUCACCCGAUUACCUUAUCUUUUGAAGUUAUUAGUAGAAAGAUACGUAAGCCUGCGUUAAAGGCAUAAGUGAUUACAUUUGAGUUUGUCUUAUGAUAAAUUCAGAAUUUGUUUUUAUGAUAAAUUCUCAUGUAGUUAUUAGGGUGGUACCGCGGGUAAACCUCGUCCCUUUG
Molecule: non-coding RNA, 256 nt
Filed under: Desulfuribacillus alkaliarsenatis
Lineage: Bacteria; Bacillati; Bacillota; Desulfuribacillia; Desulfuribacillales; Desulfuribacillaceae
Description: T-box sequence
Rfam family: T-box leader
About the family: Uncharged tRNA acts as the effector for transcription antitermination of genes in the T-box leader family.
Source: RNAcentral